UUAUUAUGAGAGUUUGAUCCUGGCUCAGGACGAACGCUGGCGGCGUGCCUAAUACAUGCAAGUCGAACGCUUCUUUCCUCCCGAGUGCUUGCACUCAAUUGGAAAGAGGAGUGGCGGACGGGUGAGUAACACGUGGGUAACCUACCCAUCAGAGGGGGAUAACACUUGGAAACAGGUGCUAAUACC
This 186-nucleotide ribosomal RNA is filed under the name Enterococcus faecalis. RNAcentral describes it as "partial 16S ribosomal RNA". It matches the Rfam family "Bacterial small subunit ribosomal RNA", at positions 1 to 170 of the family's 1533-position model. The record is from RNAcentral. Lineage: Bacteria; Bacillati; Bacillota; Bacilli; Lactobacillales; Enterococcaceae.